CCUACGGGAGGCAGCAGUCGAGAAUCAUUCACAAUGGGGGAAACCCUGAUGGUGCGACGCCGCGUGGGGGAAUGAAGGUCUUCGGAUUGUAAACCCCUGUCAUGUGGGAGCAAAUUAAAAAGAUAGUACCACAAGAGGAAGAGACGGCUAACUCUGUGCCAGCAGCCGCGUUCAUACAGAGGUCUCAAGCGUUGUUCGGAAUCACUGGGCGUAAAGGGUGCGUAGGCUGUUUCGUAAGUCGUGUGUGAAAGGCGCGGGCUCAACCCGCGGACGGCACAUGAUACUGCGAGACUAGAGUAAUGGAGGGGGAACCGGAAUGCUCGGUGUAGCAGUGAAAUGCGUAGAUAUCGAGAGGAACACUCGUGGCGAAGGCGGGUUCCUGGACAUUAACUGACGCUGAGGCACGAAGGCCAGGGGAGCGAAAGGGAUUAGAUACCCCAGUAGUC
This 446-nucleotide ribosomal RNA is filed under the name uncultured bacterium. RNAcentral describes it as "partial 16S ribosomal RNA". It matches the Rfam family "Bacterial small subunit ribosomal RNA", at positions 338 to 795 of the family's 1533-position model. The record is from RNAcentral.